This is a long non-coding RNA of Nothoprocta perdicaria, 159 nucleotides long. RefSeq lists it as uncharacterized. Lineage: Eukaryota; Metazoa; Chordata; Aves; Tinamiformes; Tinamidae. The record is from RefSeq and is a predicted model, not a curated record. The transcript has 2 exons.
ACAGACACUGAAAAGAGAGUUUGACUUAAAACAAGGCUCCUCAAAGAAUGAUCCAAGGAAAAGGAACUUGAUGAUACAACAAGCUGCAAAGAGUCCUAGCAUAAAACUUGUGCUCUACUACCAACGAUCAAGGUGGUGGCUUCCAAUAGAAGGGAUUGC